This is a long non-coding RNA of Xiphias gladius (swordfish), 787 nucleotides long. RefSeq lists it as uncharacterized. Lineage: Eukaryota; Metazoa; Chordata; Actinopteri; Istiophoriformes; Xiphiidae. The transcript is spliced from 3 exons. The record is from RefSeq and is a predicted model, not a curated record.
AGGUGGAGAGGGUUCAGAGGGAUGUCAUAACCGCUGACAGGGAGGAGAGAAAGAGAAGGGAAUAAAGAUCAGAGUGAUGCAAUAUAAACGUACGAAAGCAACAAAAGCACAGAGAGCCAUUGACUAUAGAGCAAUUUAAGAAAAGAUCCUGCGGUGGUGCAGCAGGCGAUGGAGGAAGUAGUGCCAGGUGUCUUCAACAACAGCACAACCAAAGCACUGAGCCAGGAGGUACGGCCUGGAGAAAAACAGAGGGAGAGAAAAACUCAGUGAGUUAACGCCCCGCCAAUUGGCGUUUUAAUGCAAGAGACCACAGCAUCAACUAACAGCAUACAAUAUGAUUCAUAUGCAUACAAAGGGGGAAAAAAAGGGAUGUCUAAGUUCAAAAUAAUCAGCUAUAUAAUAAUAAUAAUAAUGUGGAUUAAUACAUGUCCAUGAAAGAGUUGAACUGCGUGUAUACUGGCUAUAUACUAUUAUUAGUAUUAACAAAUUAAACUUUAUUCUGUUCUGGAUGUCCGUUCUUCUAUUUGCUAUUUUCUUAUGUGUUGUGUUAUUUUUCAAUUGGGCCUUAUUAAGUUUUUUACCCUGUGUUGUUGUUGUCCCUUCAUGUCCUUGUUUGUUGCUGGACUGUUUGUUCUUUUGAUCGUUUUCCUGGUUUUGUGUAAUAUAUUGCUCUUGUUCUUUUUUGUACACUGUAGUCAAUAUUUUGUCAAUAAAGUUGAAAAAAAAACUUGCUACUACCUACAAAAAGAAAACAAUAUUUUUUGCAACCCUAUAAAGUUCAUGGUUC